RNAcentral lists this ribosomal RNA (812 nucleotides) under uncultured bacterium. RNAcentral's name for it is "bacterial SSU rRNA". It matches the Rfam family "Bacterial small subunit ribosomal RNA", at positions 636 to 1447 of the family's 1533-position model. The record is from RNAcentral.
UNUGACUUGAGUGCAGAAGGGGAGAGUGGAAUUCCAUGUGUAGCGGUGAAAUGCGUAGAUAUAUGGAGGAACACCAGUGGCGAAAGCGGCUCUCUGGUCUGUCACUGACGCUGAGGCUCGAAAGCGUGGGAAGCGAACAGGAUUAGAUACCCUGGUAGUCCACGCCGUAAACGAUGAGUGCUAGGUGUUAGGCCCUUUCCGGGGCUUAGUGCCGGAGCUAACGCAAUAAGCACUCCGCCUGGGGAGUACGACCGCAAGGUUGAAACUCAAAGGAAUUGACGGGGGCCCGCACAAGCGGUGGAGCAUGUGGUUUAAUUCGAAGCAACGCGAAGAACCUUACCAGGUCUUGACAUCCCGAUGCUAUUCUUAGAGAUAGGAAGUUACUUCGGUACAUCGGAGACAGGUGGUGCAUGGUUGUCGUCAGCUCGUGUCGUGAGAUGUUGGGUUAAGUCCCGCAACGAGCGCAACCCUUAUUGUUAGUUGCCAUCAUUAAGUUGGGCACUCUAGCGAGACUGCCGGUAAUAAACCGGAGGAAGGUGGGGAUGACGUCAAAUCAUCAUGCCCCUUAUGACCUGGGCUACACACGUGCUACAAUGGUCGGUACAACGAGUUGCGAGCCGGUGACGGCAAGCUAAUCUCUGAAAGCCGAUCUCAGUUCGGAUUGGAGGCUGCAACUCGCCUCCAUGAAGUCGGAAUCGCUAGUAAUCGCGGAUCAGCACGCCGCGGUGAAUACGUUCCCGGGCCUUGUACACACCGCCCGUCACACCACGAGAGUUUGUAACACCCGAAGUCGGUGAGGUANCCUUUUAGGG